This 1192-nucleotide unclassified non-coding RNA is filed under the name Leishmania donovani. Its description in RNAcentral is "gene:unknown". Lineage: Eukaryota; Euglenozoa; Kinetoplastea; Trypanosomatida; Trypanosomatidae. The record is from RNAcentral.
AUACUGCCUCGUCUUGCUUUGCAGCAUGUGUUCUUCUGCUUUCUUUAUGACUCCCUGCCGUUGCUGUCUGCUCUUUCCUUCAGCGUGCCCGCUUCUUUGCCAUACAUGAGCUCAGCUCCACUCUACACCCCCUCCACGCCGGUCACAGGCCCCCAUCGCGUGGUGCGAAGCAGCCCUGCACACACGCGUUACAGCCGUGCACCGACUCAGUCACCUGAGCGUGGCCGCUGCCUCACACUCUGCCCGCCCGCCUCACAGCCGCGCCCACUAGUGCCGGUGGCCACCUGGCGCAUCCUUCCCUCGGGGUGGCCUCAGGCUCCCCACACCAGUUGGCAGCGAGGGCCAGGUGAGAUACGUUCAUGGCAUGCUCACACUUCGCCUAUUAUAUGAAUGGCGCAAGCGUGUUCGCCGCCGCAGGUUACGCCAGCACCACGCCAUCCAGGACCUGACCGCCGACAUCAGCAGCGGUACAUCGCUUGGAGCUCGCUAUGCCGCAGGCACUAGGCCAUGCCAGCACCAGAAGUAGCUCGGCAUUGGCAAGGUUAGGUGUGGAGGAGGGGGGCUUAGUGGCUUCUUCACAGAGAGCGGAAGGAGGUGUAUCAGACCCUGAGAUACGGCGCGCUGAGAGGUGUGUGCCCCCUCCCCCUCCGUCAGCUCCUUUGCUGUUCAAAGAAUCGCACAAACAGAGAGAAGGGCUGCUAUGGUGAUGCAGUGGACAUUCUCGCCAUCAUGAUGGGACAUAUGCUCGAUACACGGGCAUUCAUGUACCCGUACAUUGGUCGGCGGAUCUUGCCGUCUCUCGCGUAGGCGAACUCCUUCGCGGCGCUGACCGUCUGUCGCGUUUUGCUUUUAUGCGACGCACUGCGGCGUCGCUCAGAGGCGGCGGAAAUCCCUCGUACAUGAAGCGAAGCACUGCCCCUGCGAGGCAGUACUCGUGGACCUCUGGGCUGUGUGAGCAAAAAGACUCUGCGGGAGGAUUGCAAGGCAUGCGCGUUGCUGUGCGCCUGCCUGCCAAGGGCCAUUCAGCGUACACGACGCUGCUUUGCGUGAAGCACUUGUCAUGCGGCUCUCGCGCACCCACGUCUGUUGCUGUAGCAAGUCCUCCAUGGGCCGACACGCGUUUCCGCACGGCCCUUCAUGUCUCUAUGUGCAUCCCUCCCCCCCCCUGACUGUCUUUCUCUCUCUCGCCAAG